RNAcentral lists this long non-coding RNA (208 nucleotides) under Gossypium raimondii (Peruvian cotton). RNAcentral's name for it is "long non-coding RNA (GRAI_LNC009373)". Lineage: Eukaryota; Viridiplantae; Streptophyta; Magnoliopsida; Malvales; Malvaceae. The record is from RNAcentral.
AGAAUUAUGAUUUUGAUAAUGAUGAAGAGAUUUUUCAAGUUUAGCCAUUCUAACUUUUAGUUCACCCUUUUCCUAUCGGCUUUCUGACAAACUCUUCUCUAAGGCCUCGUUUCGUGUUUGAGCUUCUUGGAAUUUCCUUUCCCACCUAUCGGCCUUGAUCUUUUCCUCUCGAAUCUCUUGAUGCCACUGUUCUGAAGUUUUCCCCAAC